GCAGAUGUGGCGGAACUGGCAGACGCGCUGGAUUUAGGUUCCAGUGCCUUCGGGCGUGCAGGUUCGAUUCCUGUCAUCUGCA
RNAcentral lists this transfer RNA (82 nucleotides) under Weissella oryzae SG25. It matches the Rfam family "tRNA". From Rfam's summary of the family: Transfer RNA (tRNA) molecules are approximately 80 nucleotides in length. Their secondary structure includes four short double-helical elements and three loops (D, anti-codon, and T loops). RNAcentral also lists the same sequence under 1 other name. Lineage: Bacteria; Bacillati; Bacillota; Bacilli; Lactobacillales; Lactobacillaceae. The record is from Rfam by way of RNAcentral.